Molecule: long non-coding RNA, 1157 nt
Filed under: Phoenix dactylifera (date palm)
Lineage: Eukaryota; Viridiplantae; Streptophyta; Magnoliopsida; Arecales; Arecaceae
Description: long non-coding RNA (PDAC_LNC015476)
Source: RNAcentral
UGAGAGUGGAUUCAUUGUUUUGGAUGAGUUCAAUGCUAUGAGCAAGGCUCGAAUUGCAUGGGAUAGGGCCAUCUCAAUUUUUCUAUAGAUUGGGAUGUGCCACGUCUUACCUGCCCGGACAUUCAAGAUGAUGGGAUAUCCUUAUACUUUCUUGAGAUGCCCUUUUUAUAUUUUUAUGUUUUUUUAUUUUUUAAAGGUUCACUUAUGUUAUUUAUUUUAAUGUAUAUUAAGACUUAAAAUAAUAUCUUUUAAUAAUUGACCCUAUUUAGUGUACUCUAAGAUUGGAAGAGUGUAAAUCUACUUGUAUUUAUUUUUGUUUUUUCUUUGUUGAUUUUGUUGUUAAAUUUUUGAUAGUAAUCUUCAAUACACUUUGGUAGCAUCAUUGAGGCAUCUAAAUUACAUGUAGAUGUAUCUUAGUUUUCCUCAAUGUUACAUUCAUUAUUUUUUAAAUUUUAAUCAAUUAUUUAAUUAAGAAUUAUAAUUUAAUAUGAUUAUUUAGAUAAUUGCUAAAAUACAUGAUAAGCUAUACAAAUUAACUUUAAUUUGUCUACACAUGUUUCAACUUUCUUUUGCAGUUUUGCAUCUAAUAUAAUUUUCUAUAACUUUUAAAUAAUUGUUUUUAACAACUAAAUUAAAUCACAAGGAAUUCUAAAAACUAAAUUUGCUUAAGGGCUUUGUUAGACACCCCUAAUAGGGUACUAGGCAUGUCACCCCAACAUAAAUGUAGCAUUUUGUUUCGAUAACGUUUACAAUGUUCGUAUUUUGGUACAUGUUUGGGUGCUCUUAAAUGCACUCGAAAGUUAUACAAAACAUGAAAAAGUUAAGCAGUAUGUACAUAAUAAUAAUAAUAAUAAUAAUAAUAAUAAUAAUAAUAAUAAAAAAGAGGUACUAUAUUUUUCCAAAAUUCUUUUUUUUAUUUUAAUAAUUAAUUUAUUUUAAAAUGAUUUUAUAAAAUAGUGAAAUAUAUAUUGGAAAUAAAAAUUAUAGACUUGUAGCUUGAUCUUAACUCUACAACAUAUCAUAAUUUCAUAUAAAACAGAAAAAUUGGUAUCACAAUUUUCGUUUUUCUUAAAUUCGGUCAAAUUAAUGGCAGCAAAAAAGGGCCCAAUCCCCUGAUUACGAGUCUCCCAGUGUCGAGCAACCCAAUCUUGGUCGUC